RNAcentral lists this unclassified non-coding RNA (146 nucleotides) under uncultured fungus. RNAcentral's name for it is "sequence contains ITS1". Lineage: Eukaryota; Fungi. The record is from RNAcentral.
CAGAGUGGAGGGCCCUCGGGCCCGUGCUCCCAUCCUGUUGCCGUCUAGAAUGUGUUCUUGCCCCCGCGCCCCUCUGAGCGGCCGGGCGGCGCCUCAGAUGACUCUUGGUUGACUUCUGUCUCUGACUCGUAUGAGAAAUCAAACGA